GACGAACGCUGGCGGCGUGCCUAAUACAUGCAAGUAGAACGCUGAAGGAGGAGCUUGCUUCUCCGGAUGAGUUGCGAACGGGUGAGUAACGCAUAGGUAACCUGCCUGGUAGCGGGGGAUAACUAUUGGAAACGAUAGCUAAUACCGCAUAACAGUAGAUAUUGCAUGAUAUCUGCUUGAAAGGUGCACUUGCAUCACUACCAGAUGGACCUGCGUUGUAUUAGCUAGUUGGUGGGGUAACGGCUCACCAAGGCGACGAUACAUAGCCGACCUGAGAGGGGGAUCGGCCACACUGGGACUGAGACACGGCCCAGACUCCUACGGGAGGCAGCAGUAGGGAAUCUUCGGCAAUGGACGGAAGUCUGACCGAGCAACGCCGCGUGAGUGAAGAAGGUUUUCGGAUCGGAAAGCUCUGUUGUAAGAGAAGAACGAGUGUGAGAGUGGAAAGUUCACACUGUGACGGUAUCUUACCAGAAAGGGACGGCUAACUACGUG
This 495-nucleotide ribosomal RNA is filed under the name uncultured bacterium. Its description in RNAcentral is "partial 16S ribosomal RNA". It matches the Rfam family "Bacterial small subunit ribosomal RNA", at positions 28 to 507 of the family's 1533-position model. The record is from RNAcentral.